This 227-nucleotide long non-coding RNA is filed under the name Elaeis guineensis (African oil palm). Its description in RNAcentral is "long non-coding RNA (EGUI_LNC051003)". The record is from RNAcentral. Lineage: Eukaryota; Viridiplantae; Streptophyta; Magnoliopsida; Arecales; Arecaceae.
CCAGACACCAUCCCUAGCUCUCUGACUCCGGAGGAACUCUCACUGAUUAGGAUUCAGUACGGGGUUCCUCCGGAGUACGAGCUGGACCUUCUCGGGCCAACUGGCCGGGCUAGCGCCCCUCUUCCCAGCUGCUUCUGUUUAUACCAAGAAGCUUUCUGCACCAGACUUCGACUUUCACUUUUUCCUUUUUUCGUGGCUUUGUUUCUAAGCUAUGCCAAUCUUCUUUC